GAGUUUGAUCCUGGCUCAGAUUGAACGCUGGCGGUAGGCUUAACACAUGCAAGUCGUGCGAGAAAGUAUCUUCGGAUAUGAGUAGAGCGGCGGACGGGUGAGUAACGCGUAGGAAUCUACCUAGUAGAAGGGGAUAGCCCGGGGAAACCCGGAUUAAUACCGUAUACCUCCUUCGGGAGAAAGAAGGCCUCUCUUUGAAGCUUUCGCUAUUAGAUGAGCCUGCGUAAGAUUAGCUUGUUGGUGAGGUAAAGGCUCACCAAGGCUACGAUCUUUAGCUGGUCUGAGAGGACGAUCAGCCACAUUGGGACUGAGACACGGCCCAGACUCCUACGGGAGGCAGCAGUGGGGAAUAUUGGACAAUGGGCGCAAGCCUGAUCCAGCCAUACCGCGUGUGUGAAGAAGGCCUUCGGGUUGUAAAGCACUUUAAGCAGGGAGAAAAAGUUAUAAGUUAAUACCUUAUAACCCUGAUGUUACCUGCAGAAUAAGCACCGGCUAAUUCCGUGCCAGCAGCCGCGGUAAUACGGAAGGUGCAAGCGUUAAUCGGAAUUACUGGGCGUAAAGCGCGCGUAGGUGGUUUGUUAAGUUGGAUGUGAAAGCCCUGGGCUCAACCUAGGAACUGCAUCCAAAACUAACUCACUAGAGUACGAUAGAGGGAGGUAGAAUUCAUAGUGUAGCGGUGGAAUGCGUAGAUAUUAUGAAGAAUACCAGUGGCGAAGGCGGCCUCCUGGAUCUGUACUGACACUGAGGUGCGAAAGCGUGGGUAGCGAACAGGAUUAGAUACCCUGGUAGUCCACGCCGUAAACGAUGACAACUAGCUGUUGGAAGACAAAGUCUUUCAGUGGCGCAGCUAACGUUUUAAGUUGUCCGCCUGGGGAGUACGGCCGCAAGGCUAAAACUCAAAUGAAUUGACGGGACCCGCACAAGCGGUGGAGCAUGUGGUUUAAUUCGAUGC
This 952-nucleotide ribosomal RNA is filed under the name uncultured bacterium. RNAcentral describes it as "bacterial SSU rRNA". It matches the Rfam family "Bacterial small subunit ribosomal RNA", at positions 9 to 957 of the family's 1533-position model. The record is from RNAcentral.